GAUGAACGCUGGCGGCGUGCCUAAUACAUGCAAGUCGAGCGAACAGAUGAGAAGCUUGCUUCUCUGAUGUUAGCGGCGGACGGGUGAGUAACACGUGGAUAACCUACCUAUAAGACUGGGAUAACUUCGGGAAACCGGAGCUAAUACCGGAUAAUAUAUUGAACCGCAUGGUUCAAUAGUGAAAGACGGUUUUGCUGUCACUUAUAGAUGGAUCCGCGCUGCAUUAGCUAGUUGGUAAGGUAACGGCUUACCAAGGCAACGAUGCGUAGCCGACCUGAGAGGGUGAUCGGCCACACUGGAACUGAGACACGGUCCAGACUCCUACGGGAGGCAGCAGUAGGGAAUCUUCCGCAAUGGGCGAAAGCCUGACGGAGCAACGCCGCGUGAGUGAUGAAGGUCUUCGGAUCGUAAAACUCUGUUAUUAGGGAAGAACAAAUGUGUAAGUAACUGUGCACAUCUUGACGGUACCUAAUCAGAAAGCCACGGCUAACUACGUG
Molecule: ribosomal RNA, 497 nt
Filed under: uncultured bacterium
Lineage: Bacteria
Description: partial 16S ribosomal RNA
Rfam family: Bacterial small subunit ribosomal RNA
Source: RNAcentral